This 146-nucleotide ribosomal RNA is filed under the name uncultured bacterium. RNAcentral describes it as "partial 16S ribosomal RNA". It matches the Rfam family "Bacterial small subunit ribosomal RNA", at positions 8 to 134 of the family's 1533-position model. The record is from RNAcentral.
AGAGUUUGAUCAUGGCUCAGGACGAACGCUGGCGGCGUGCCUAAUACAUGCAAGUCGAGCGAGCGGAACUAACAGAUUUACUUCGGUAAUGACGUUAGGAAAGCGAGCGGCGGAUGGGUGAGUAACACGUAGGUAACCUGCCCCGG